UACGUAGGGGGCUAGCGUUAUCCGGAAUUACUGGGCGUAAAGGGUGCGUAGGUGGUUUCUUAAGUCAGAGGUGAAAGGCUACGGCUCAACCGUAGUAAGCCUUUGAAACUGGGGAACUUGAGUGCAGGAGAGGAGAGUGGAAUUCCUAGUGUAGCGGUGAAAUGCGUAGAUAUUAGGAGGAGCACCAGUUGCGAAGGCGGCUCUCUGGACUGUAACUGACACUGAGGCACGAAAGCGUGGGGAGCAAACAGG
RNAcentral lists this ribosomal RNA (252 nucleotides) under uncultured bacterium. RNAcentral's name for it is "partial 16S ribosomal RNA". It matches the Rfam family "Bacterial small subunit ribosomal RNA", at positions 524 to 776 of the family's 1533-position model. The record is from RNAcentral.